This 5848-nucleotide long non-coding RNA is filed under the name Sus scrofa (pig). Its description in RNAcentral is "lncRNA (ENSSSCG00030040560.1)". The record is from RNAcentral. Lineage: Eukaryota; Metazoa; Chordata; Mammalia; Artiodactyla; Suidae.
GGGUAUCCAACAUCAUAAUUAUCUCAUAAAAGACACCAACUCAGGAUUUGAAAGUCUUUACACAGUAUCUUCUGUGAUGCCGAGCUUGCCAAAGACAGUCCAUUUGGGUUGAGGAAUCAAAAUAAAGCAUUAUGAAUUCAGGUGAAAGAGUCUCAAGGCAUGCCUGGUUUCUCCAAUCCAAACCAAUCAAUGUUUGAAAUGUAAACUUGGAAUUCUGAUUCCAUUUCUAUUGUAGGACUAGGGAAAUGAAGGGAGCAUGCUUGCACGCUUCUCCCAAGCAAGAUUCGUGUUAUUUUGACACGGGGCAAAUGUUCCCAAAACAUCUUGGUAAUAUGUCCACAUGUAUAAGUAUCAAAGGCUAUUCUGAAUGAGUUACCAAGGUACAUGCAAAUCUAGUUUUCACUAACUUUUUUUUUUUAAUUAAACAUCUCUCUUUGGCGUUACCCACCUAGACAAAGACACUCCUUUUGGCAACAUAGUUGUUAACCUUUUUUCUUUUUUUAAAUGAAACAUCUGUCUUUGAUUUGACCCACUCAUAGACAAAGGCACUAUUUUUGGCAAAAUUGUUAAUUUAGGUACCAUGAUUCAUUAGGAGUGACAAAACAUGAUGGAGAAAACUUUCCUGGAAGUUUUGAUGGAAUGAGCAAGGGAAGUUUAAUUUUUUACCUAUUGAUGUAUGUGUCAAAUUCCCUUCAGGAACCACAGCUCAAUGCAUCCUUUGUCAAUUCUUUGGCUUCCCAUCUGCCCUUGAUGGGAAUAGUAUUUGAUGUACAAUGGAUUUAUGACCCAUCCCAUAAUAUGGUGCCCUCUCUGUGGAGGUGUCUUGUGUUGCUUUAGGAAACCUCAGAAGUGCAGUAGCUACCUUAUUUCCUUGAACCCAAGAAAGCUUGGUCAUAGAACACACCCUAUUCCAUGGUUCUCUGAAAGAAAAAACAUUGCCAAUCAAACCAGUGGCUUAAGGUUUUCUUAUCACACCAUUUCUCUUUUAUCCUUAAUUCAAACAAGUCUUUCAAAUGGAUGUUAGGCCAUAUUCAUAUGUUCAUAAAACAGCACACAUAUAAAGCAAAUCACAUAAGGGGUCUGUGAAAUUUUUUGCAAACUUUAGAUUUUGAUUGUUCACAUCUUGACACCAUCCUAUAAUCUCCCAUGUCUUUAGUAUUUUGUUAAUGUGUCAUUCAUGGUAUAAUCUUCCCUGUCAGUAGUAUUUGUUAGUGUGUCAUUCUGGGCUAUGCGGUCACCACCUAUAUGAAAAUACAACCAGGUCCUGAAAAGUGCACACAUCAUUCAUAGAAAGGUCCAGUGAUCAAAAAAAUACACUGUGGUGUGUAUUCCCUUGGUCAAAAAGUUGGCCAUGGCAAAGAAAUUCUCCUUGUAACUAACUCCCCCCACCUUCUUCCAGUCAUGACACAGAUUAUUUUUGGCACCUUGUAAUAUUUAUAAAACUAGAGUCAUAGAAUAUUUUUCUGCAUCUGGCCUCUAAUGCUUAAUGCUAUGUUUGUGGCAUUCUCCAGUACUGUUUGCUUCGUGGUGGUACAUUCAUUUUCAAUACCAUGUGAUGGUUUAUGCUAUACAAAUACUGUCAUUUAUUGGUUGAAACUAUCAUUGAUGGAUGUUUGAUAUGUUUCCCAUUGGGGGCUAUUAUAAAUAAUGCUGGUGAGCACAAUUGUGCAUAUAUGCCUAAAAGUGAAAUGGAUGCGUUUUCACGGAUAUCUAUGUCCAUCUGUACAUACAUGUUUCAAAGAGCUGGUAUUUACACUCUCUCCCAGCAUUCCCGUAAUAGUCUAUAUCUGUGCUAUCCCACGUGGUGGCCACAGUCACACAUCAUCACUUCAAUUUAAUGACUAAAGAUAAAAUUUUAAAUUGAGGUCUUCUGGAGUUCCCAUGGUGGCUCAGCAGUAAUGAAUCUGGCUAGUAACCAUGAUGAUGUGGGUUCUAUCCCUGACCUUGCUCAUGGGUUAAGGAUCCGGCAUUGCCGUGAACUGUGGUGUAGGUCGCGGACGUGGCUCGGAUCCUGUGUUGCUGUGGCUCUGGCGUAGGCUGGUGGCUACAGCUCUGAUUCGACCCCUAGCCUGGGAACCUCCCGUAUGCUGUGGGAGUGGCCAAAGAAAUGGCAAAAAGACAAAAAAAAAAAAAAAAAAAGGUCCAUUAGGUAGAACCAUUUCAUAUCCUUGCAAGGCUCGGUAUUUUAAGUUUCUGUAAAUUUAGAAAUUCAGAUAAGUGUGUAAUGGUAUCACUUUGUGCCUUUUUAAAAAUUUUAUUUUUAGGGAGUUCCUGUUGUGACUAAGAGGGGUAAGAACCUGACGAGUAUCCAUGGGGAUGUGGGUUUUGUCCCUGGCCUCACUCAGGAGGUUAAGGAUCCAGUGUUCCUGUGGCUGUGGUGUGAGCUGGCACCUGAAGCUCAGAUUUGACCCCUAGCCUGGGAACUUGCUUAUGCCACAGGUGCAGCCCUAAAAAGAAAAAAAAUAUUUUAUUAAAGCAUACUUGAUUUAAAGUGCUGUCCUUGUUCCUUGUGUACAGCAGAGUGACUCAGUUAUAUACACACACAUUUUUUUUCUGUGUCUUUUUCCAUGAUGGUUUACCACAGGAUAUUAAAUAUAGUUCACUGUGCUCUGCAGUAGGACCUUGUUUAUAAAUCCUGUAUGUAAUAGUAGGAACUGCUAAACCCAAACUCCCAAUCCAUCCCACUCCCCUCCUCCCCUUUGGCAACCACAAGUCUGUUCUCUCUGUCUGUGAGGUCUGUUUCUGUUUUGUAGAUAGGUUCAUUUGUGCCCUAUUUUAGAUCCUACCUAUAAGUGAUAUCAUAUGGUAUUUUUCUUUCUCUUUCUGACUUACUUCAUUUAGUAUGAGGGUUUCUGGUUUCAUCCAGUUUGCUGCAAAUGACAUUAUUUAAUUCUUUUUUAUGGCUGAGUAAUAUUUCAUUGUAUACAUGUACCACAGGUAUACAGUAUUUUCUUUGGAGAAUUGUCUGUUUAGGUCUUAAGCCUAUUUUUCAAACUGGGUGUUUUUUUUUGGUAAUGAGUUGUAUGAAAUGUUUGUAUAUUUUGGAAACUGAGCCCUUGUCAGUCACAUCAUUUGCAAAUAUUUUCUCCCAGUCCGUAGGUUUUUUUUCUCAUUUUAUUUAUGAUUCCCUUUGCUGUGCAAAAGCUUACAGGUUUAAUUAGGUCCCAUUUGCUUAUUUUUGCUUUUACUUCUGUUGCCUUGGAAGACUGACCUAAGAAAAUAUUGAUACAACUUAUGUCAGAGAAUGUUUUGCCUGUGUUCUCUUCUAGGAGUUUGAGGGUGUCAUGUCUUAUAUUUAAGUCUAUAAGCCAUUUUAAGCUUAUUUUUGUGCAAGGUAUGUGGGCAUAUACUUUGUGCUUUGAAUUUGCAGUUGUCUGGUUGGUAAGAAGUUCAGGUAACUCUUCUUGUUUCCUAAAAAUUUAGAGAUUCUCUUGUAAAGUACCUAUUAAAGUGUCUUCCUUGCAUUUUUAUAUGGUUACCUAUCUUUUUACAUUUUUUGUGAUGGAUGGGAAGAAGUCUGAUGGAUUGUCUCUUCUGCUAUAUUGAGCUCUUUCCCAGCUCUGUGUGUUGCAAAUACCCCCUCCUGUGUACUGCUUUCCUUUUCACUAACGUAUGAGUGACCCCAGUUGAAUAGAGAGUGUUUGUUUUGAGUCCAUAAAUUUUCCAGUCUCUAAGGUCUGUUCUUUUUGUGUGCUGUGUGUGAAAAAUUGGCCCAUCUCAAGGAUGCAAGGUGUUCAUUUCUUGGGAUGGAUACAUCCAUGGAUAUUGUAGAAAAGGGAAAUAUUAACCAUUCCAUGCAUUGAAAAAGGAACAUACAGAUGGAGCUCAGCCAAAAGGACCUCCAGUAAUGUGUCACCUUGAUGGAGGCAGACUCUUUCCCCUGAGAUUCUAAAAGAAGGUCAACAUACAAAUAUUUCAUGUCUAUUCUAGUCGUAGGUUCAAGAUGACCAUAUGCCAUCUAUGAAAACCCAGGUAUUAUUGUAUUAUAGACCUCUUCUUUUUCGUGAUUAAAUUACUUGUAAGUCCAUUCUGUUGUUCCUGGCAUUUUAGAGGCAUUUGAGACCCAAAUAUUUAUCAGAAUGUAAUAAUAUGAGGGCACUGUCUUUUAAUGUCCCCAGGGCAGGUGAGCCAUUGGGUGGGAAAACAUCAAAAUGAACACACACAACCAUUAGGUACCUCAAUCCCUACCUCAUGCACGACACAAAAUUAAUUGCAUUUAGGUGAAAGAUGUAAUUUCAAGAGAAAAGAAAUCAAUGGAGUAUAUUGUCUUAAGUAUCGAUAGAACACUGGGAUGCUGGCAGAUGUUGUUAGCAUGAAUCUAAAUACAAAAGACAGAAAGGAAGCUGCCUGGCCCCAUCCACAACUGCCACCAACCUCUUCCCAAACUCCAAGCCUCAGUGUUCCCGCCCUCCACAUCCAAGGGACACCAGGUCAACCUCAGAUUAUAACUCAUACAUUUCUUGCCCACCAACACAGCAGAUCUCCUUGGGAAACAACUGAACCAAUCAUACCCCAUCACACACUUACCAAAAUGGAUAACUACAUAUUUAUUUCUGUAUGUGUAUGUGUGUGUGUGUUUAAGUUUACUUAACAACGUUUCGCCUCCAGUACAUUAAUGGUGGAAGGAAGAAAUAAGAUGUCUUGUACUCAUCAUUGAUACCCCAGCACUGGCAUCUCUUUCCCGUCAAUGGGACGCAAAAAUUUUUUUUUGGUCUUUUGUCUUUUUUUUAGGGCUGCACCCGCGGCCAUGUGGACGUUCCCAGGCUAGGGGUCGGAUCUGAGCUACAGCUGCCAGCCCACACCACAGCUACAACAAUGCGGGAUCCGAGCCACAUCUGCAACCUACCCCACAGCUCAUGGCAACGCAGGAUCUUUAACCCACUGAGAAAGGCCAGGGAUUGAACCCACAGCCGCAUGAAUACCAGUUGGGUUCGUUAACCACUAAGCCACGAUGGGAACGCCUCAGAAAUAUUGUUUGAUGGAAAAAAAUUAUAGAUUUCACUCUCCAGAUAAUAGAUUUCACUGUCCAGAUAAAUUCCCAUUGAUUGGGCUUAAAAAUAUUUUUUGAUGGAAAAAAAUUGUACAUUCCACUGUCCAGUUAAAAAGCUUCUCUAGGGAGUUCCUGUUGUGGGGCAAAGAAAACAAAUCCGACUAGUGUCCAUGAGGAUGUGGGUUUGUUCCCUGAAUUCACUCAGUGGGUUGGGGCUUUGGCAUUGCCAUGAGCUGUGGUAUAGGUUGUAGACAUGGCUUGGAUCCUGCGUGGCUGUGGCUGUGGCUGUGGCAUAGGCUGGCAUUUACAGCUCUGAUUCGACCCCUAGCCUGGGAACUUGCAUAUGCCACAGGUGCAGCCCUAAAAACCAAAAAAAAAAAAAAAACCCCAAAAAAGCAAGCUUCUGUACAAUAUGAAGGAAAUAUCCAUGACAAAUGGACAGAGAAUAGCUUUUUAACACAUAUAACAUAUGUAAUAUAAAGAGCCCUUAAAAUUGAUAGGAAAAUAUUAGUAAAAAUCAAAUGAUGGCUUAGGUUAAAACAGCUAUGUGCAAAGGCAUUUAUACAGCCUAUAAACGUAGGAAAAACAUAGGAAAAUGUUUAAAUUCACUAAUACACAAAAAUGCUUAUUUUUUAACUUUUAUUUAUUUUAAUGAUUUUUAUUUUUUCCAUUAUAGCUGAUUUACAGUGUUCUAUCAAUUUCCUACUGCACAGUAAGGUGACCCAGUCAUACAUACACAUACACAUUCUUUUUUCUCAGAUUAGCAUGUUCCAUCUCAAGGGGCCAGAUAGAGUCCCAGUCCUGUACAGCAGGAUCUCAUUGCUUCUCCAUUCCAAAGGCAAUCAUUUGCAAAAAAAA